UUAAGUGACUAAGCGUACACGGUGGAUGCCUGGGCAGUCAGAGGCGAUGAAGGACGUACUAACUUGCGAUAAGCGCAGAUAAGGCAGUAAGAGCCGUUUGAGUCUGCGAUUUCCGAAUGGGGAAACCCAACUGCAUAAGCAGUUACUGUUAACUGAAUACAUAGGUUAACAGAGCAAACCGGGGGAACUGAAACAUCUAAGUACCCCGAGGAGAAGAAAUCAACCGAGAUUCCGGUAGUAGCGGCGAGCGAACCUGGAUUAGCCCUUAAGCACUCGGUGAAGUAGGUGAACAAGCUGGAAAGCUUGGCGAUACAGGGUGAUAGCCCCGUAACCGACGCUUCAUCGAGCGUGAAAUCGAGUAGGGCGGGACACGUGAUAUCCUGUCUGAAUAUGGGGGGACCAUCCUCCAAGGCUAAAUACUCCUGACUGACCGAUAGUGAACCAGUACCGUGAGGGAAAGGCGAAAAGAACCCCUGUGAGGGGAGUGAAAUAGAACCUGAAACCGUGUACGUACAAGCAGUAGGAGCACCUUCGUGGUGUGACUGCGUACCUUUUGUAUAAUGGGUCAGCGACUUAUAUUCAGUGGCAAGGUUAACCGUAUAGGGGAGCCGUAGCGAAAGCGAGUCUUAACUGGGCGCUCAGUCUCUGGAUAUAGACCCGAAACCGGGUGAUCUAGCCAUGGGCAGGUUGAAGGUUGAGUAACAUCAACUGGAGGACCGAACCGACUAAUGUUGAAAAAUUAGCGGAUGACUUGUGGCUAGGGGUGAAAGGCCAAUCAAACUCGGAGAUAGCUGGUUCUCCCCGAAAGCUAUUUAGGUAGCGCCUCGGACGAAUACUACUGGGGGUAGAGCACUGUUAAGGCUAGGGGGUCAUCCCGACUUACCAACCCUUUGCAAACUCCGAAUACCAGUAAGUACUAUCCGGGAGACACACGGCGGGUGCUAACGUCCGUCGUGGAGAGGGAAACAACCCAGACCGCCAGCUAAGGUCCCAAAGUAUUGCUAAGUGGGAAACGAUGUGGGAAGGCUCAGACAGCUAGGAUGUUGGCUUAGAAGCAGCCAUCAUUUAAAGAAAGCGUAAUAGCUCACUAGUCGAGUCGGCCUGCGCGGAAGAUGUAACGGGGCUAAGCAAUACACCGAAGCUGCGGCAAUAUCUUUUAGAUAUUGGGUAGGGGAGCGUUCUGUAAGCCGUUGAAGGUGAAUCGUAAGGUUUGCUGGAGGUAUCAGAAGUGCGAAUGCUGACAUGAGUAACGACAAAGGGGGUGAAAAACCUCCUCGCCGGAAGACCAAGGGUUCCUGUCCAACGUUAAUCGGGGCAGGGUGAGUCGACCCCUAAGGUGAGGCCGAAAGGCGUAAUCGAUGGGAAACGGGUUAAUAUUCCCGUACUUCUGACUAUUGCGAUGGGGGGACGGAGAAGGCUAGGUGGGCCAGGCGACGGUUGUCCUGGUUCAAGUGCGUAGGCUUGAGAGUUAGGUAAAUCCGGCUCUCUCUAAGGCUGAGACACGACGUCGAGCUGCUACGGUAGUGAAGUCAUUGAUGCCAUGCUUCCAGGAAAAGCCUCUAAGCUUCAGAUAGUCAGGAAUCGUACCCCAAACCGACACAGGUGGUCGGGUAGAGAAUACCAAGGCGCUUGAGAGAACUCGGGUGAAGGAACUAGGCAAAAUGGUACCGUAACUUCGGGAGAAGGUACGCUCUUGAUGGUGAAGUCCCUCGCGGAUGGAGCUGACGAGAGUCGCAGAUACCAGGUGGCUGCAACUGUUUAUUAAAAACACAGCACUGUGCAAAAUCGCAAGAUGACGUAUACGGUGUGACGCCUGCCCGGUGCCGGAAGGUUAAUUGAUGGGGUUAGCGCAAGCGAAGCUCUUGAUCGAAGCCCCGGUAAACGGCGGCCGUAACUAUAACGGUCCUAAGGUAGCGAAAUUCCUUGUCGGGUAAGUUCCGACCUGCACGAAUGGCGUAAUGAUGGCCACGCUGUCUCCACCCGAGACUCAGUGAAAUUGAAAUCGCUGUGAAGAUGCAGUGUACCCGCGGCUAGACGGAAAGACCCCGUGAACCUUUACUACAGCUUGGCACUGAACAUUGAACCUACAUGUGUAGGAUAGGUGGGAGGCUAUGAAGACGUGACGCCAGUUGCGUUGGAGCCGUCCUUGAAAUACCACCCUUGUAUGUUUGAUGUUCUAACUUAGCCCCAUUAUCUGGGGUGAGGACAGUGCCUGGUGGGUAGUUUGACUGGGGCGGUCUCCUCCCAAAGAGUAACGGAGGAGCACGAAGGUGGGCUAAUCACGGUUGGACAUCGUGAGGUUAGUGCAAUGGCAUAAGCCCGCUUAACUGCGAGAAUGACGGUUCGAGCAGGUGCGAAAGCAGGUCAUAGUGAUCCGGUGGUUCUGUAUGGAAGGGCCAUCGCUCAACGGAUAAAAGGUACUCCGGGGAUAACAGGCUGAUACCGCCCAAGAGUUCAUAUCGACGGCGGUGUUUGGCACCUCGAUGUCGGCUCAUCACAUCCUGGGGCUGAAGUCGGUCCCAAGGGUAUGGCUGUUCGCCAUUUAAAGUGGUACGCGAGCUGGGUUUAGAACGUCGUGAGACAGUUCGGUCCCUAUCUGCCGUGGGCGUUGGAAGAUUGAAGGGGGCUGCUCCUAGUACGAGAGGACCGGAGUGGACGAACCUCUGGUGUUCGGGUUGUGUCGCCAGACGCAUUGCCCGGUAGCUAAGUUCGGAAUUGAUAAGCGCUGAAAGCAUCUAAGCGCGAAGCGAGCCCUGAGAUGAGUCUUCCC
Molecule: ribosomal RNA, 2770 nt
Filed under: Vibrio cholerae
Lineage: Bacteria; Pseudomonadati; Pseudomonadota; Gammaproteobacteria; Vibrionales; Vibrionaceae
Description: 23S ribosomal RNA
Rfam family: Bacterial large subunit ribosomal RNA
Source: RNAcentral